UACGGAGGGGGCUAGCGUUGUUCGGAAUUACUGGGCGUAAAGCGCACGUAGGCGGAUUGGUAAGUUGGGGGUGAAAUCCCGGGGCUCAACCCCGGAACUGCCUCCAAAACUCCCAGUCUGGAGUCCGGGAGAGGCGAGUGGAAUUCCGAGUGUAGAGGUGAAAUUCGUAGAUAUUCGGAGGAACACCAGUGGCGAAGGCGGCUCGCUGGUCCGGUACUGCCGCUGAGGUGCGAAAGCGUGGGGAGCAAACAGG
This 253-nucleotide ribosomal RNA is filed under the name uncultured bacterium. RNAcentral describes it as "partial 16S ribosomal RNA". It matches the Rfam family "Bacterial small subunit ribosomal RNA", at positions 524 to 776 of the family's 1533-position model. The record is from RNAcentral.